CAGUGCGGUCGGAUCGCGAUCGUCUCGCGUUUUCGUGCCUUUUUCACUCAUUCUAAAAAAGUUUUGUGCGGAUGAGUAAUUGAAAUGUCGAAUUUAGUGACGAACGGUUAUUUCAAAGUAUUGAUAAGCUCGCAUGAAGGACGCCUUUCGGCGUUCAAAAACAAAGUCUUCGCAUUCCAUUGCAAAAUAUUAUUUUUAGAUCCAUAUCUUUACUACGUAUUUUGUGUUAUUGUGCAUCCAACAAGCAUCGCAUAUGUUCUCUAUUAUUUGCAGCAUUGAGGAGCAUCAAUGAGACCAUCGAGGAUUCGCUGCAAUAGAUUCAUCGAAGCAGAGUACAAGUGUAUAGUGUAAAGUGAUCAAGAAAGAACAUGAUGACUCCAUAAAGAUGAUUGCCAGAUUCAAAGGAGCAACUAGGAGCAGAAAGGAGCAACGACCAGAAACAGGAAGGACAGGAGAAAGAAAGCAUGCAGUGGCGGCGCAUCAACCGGUUUUUCUUAUCCGGCCACGAAAUGAAUAUCCGGUUGUGGGUUUUAUUGCUACACGCGGAGCUGGGAAUCGAGCGCGGCGGGGUGGACAAGGGGAUAUCGACGGCGAAGCUGUGUCACCUACAUUCCCUUUAAAGGAGAUCGUUCUCGAGAAAAAAAAUCCAUAAUCAUCGACUCUUUCAAACUGACAACACGUGGAAGUUUCUACUGUCGAAGCGCCAGACUUCUUGCCGGAGGCUGUAGGUCGAGAGAGAGAGAGAGAGAGAGAGAGAGAGAGCGCGGAGAUCGGAACAGAUGGGAAAAACUCGUAAGGAAAAGCUCGACGAUUUUCCAAUCGAGCCGCGGGGUGUUCGUUGUCCCUCCGAAGAGAACAAAUCGACGAACAACGCCGACGAUCGGAUUGCGUUCCGGUCGAAAUCAGCUGAAUAAGUGAGAUAGGCAGUCGCCAGUAGAUGGAGGCGACUUGGCGCACCUUGUCGCAACCGGUUGCAGUUUGAAACAACAGCCACCACACCGUCGUUAUGUUUCGCGCGCGCGCGCGCGCGCACACAUUGGGUUUUGCUGGCGCAAUACGGAUAUUUUCAACGUGGGCGAAAAGGAGCCUGACGAAUGCCGGGCGAAAUCCGAAAAGCAUCGUUGUCUGAAUUUGUGGCUGAGCGUGACGGACAGCUCUGACCCGGGAUGCAUUAUCCAGCGCGUCGAGAUCCACCCCUCGCUGCCGUCCCGCGGAUUCUGGGUCUGGGGGAAUACAUGACAAGGGCCAGGGCCGUUUGCAGCGGUGCUAUUUACCACGACGCCUUCGGGAAAGAGAUGUAUAUCCGCGAGAGAGGUGAGUUAACAUAAUGGAACGAUUUUAAUAAUUCCCGAUAUAAAUCAACGAGAAGAUACACGACGUGAUACAGCUACGUCCGCAUUUCAAUAAACCGCAAUGCAGAUCUCUCUCGACAUUAUAAUACGUCUCUUUUCACGAAAUAACAGUGACGGGAAAUAGCGAUCGUAAGCGCGGUGCGAUAUGGAAGCGGGGAGGGCGAAAAUAUUACGAAUGAAAUGCCCGCGAUUUAGCGCAUUUUCAACUUAAUUCUUUCUAUACAAUUUCAACGUACACCGACGAGUAAUCCGCCAAAUCGAUAUACGACAUCCGAAGUGCUAACAUCGUCGGAAAACAUUCGGGAGAAAGCUCAAUUACCACAGUUGGCUCUACAACGCCGCAAGCCCGUUGGCCGUUUUCACCGCUCGCAAACGUUUGCGACUGUAACUCACUUGGCCGCGCUAUCUCGAGCUUUUCCCGGUUGUUUCAGUAACCGUUGCGAAGGUGAAAUCUCUCCCGCCGUCGCGCGUUUCCGGGAACGGUUAGCGGGAGAGACAAUUAGGAGGAAAACCGAUCGCGACUGGCUGCGACGUGUUAAUCCCGUCGCAGUCGCUUUUUCGACCGAAUUGUCGCGCGCACAAUAGGAGUCCGACGAGGAAAAAAAAAAGCAGGCGCGCCCGAACGACGCGAAAAUAUGAUCGACGAAUUUUUAUCUCGUUUCGCUAGACGCACGACAGACGCCGGCGGGCGCGGAUAUAAGCGAGCUAUAUUUUUUUCGUACGACCCUCGCCGCCGGCCGCCGCCGGCUUGAUAAUUGGAAGCGUUCAAUUAGCGUGCCUUAAUUGCGGAGCGAACCGCAACGCGGGUGCCGAUUCUCAAACUACAAUUAAUGGCUAUCACCUUUCUAAUUAACGAGGAACGAUGCUCGCGCGUGUAUCGAUCGUCGCGCAUGAUAAAAAGGAUAUCGCGAAGAAUGGUACAAGCGCGAAAAGGGAUGCGAUUCGACGCAGGGUAACGCGAGUGGAUCGACAUACGAAAAACCAAAUGCCUUAAAUACACUUAAAAAUUACGCCCGAAGAUCAUGAAGUUUAAUCGUCCUUCACCGUCGGGGAAAGAAACGCCGAAGCGAUUUUCUUUUAUGCGAGAUUCUUAUCGAAAUCCUGUUCGAUAUUGUAGUUUUGUAGGUAGAUACGCUGUGUAUAUACGACACGGCCGAGACGCA
This is an RNA transcript of Linepithema humile (Argentine ant), 2515 nucleotides long. RefSeq lists it as uncharacterized. Lineage: Eukaryota; Metazoa; Arthropoda; Insecta; Hymenoptera; Formicidae. The record is from RefSeq and is a predicted model, not a curated record.